This 290-nucleotide long non-coding RNA is filed under the name Panax ginseng (ginseng). RNAcentral's name for it is "long non-coding RNA (PGIN_LNC005628)". Lineage: Eukaryota; Viridiplantae; Streptophyta; Magnoliopsida; Apiales; Araliaceae. The record is from RNAcentral.
UUGGGUGGGUUGCUUUGCUUAUAUUAAAUAAGAGCCAGGAGGGGCAUCUUCAUCAAGCAAAUAAAUUGGAAAAAUGGAGCAACCUUUAAAGAGAAAUUUUGUAUUGUUUUUUUUUCAUUAUUUUGGUUAGUUAUGUCAGUGGACACAAAGGUUAUUUUGAAGAGGAAAGGAAAGGCUUGUUGGAAUUGAAGGAGAUCAUGGAAUUCAUGAAUCAGUCUUCUAUUAUCAAUAAUGAGUUUGAGUUUCUUCUUUCUGAUUGGGUUGAUAUUGAGGGAAAAAAUGAGUGUUGU